Molecule: unclassified non-coding RNA, 379 nt
Filed under: uncultured Acidobacteriota bacterium
Lineage: Bacteria; Pseudomonadati; Acidobacteriota
Description: uncultured Acidobacteria bacterium contains 16S-23S intergenic spacer region
Source: RNAcentral
UCCGGUUUGGCACCGGCAGUCUCCAAUGAGUCCCCGGCAUUACCCGCUGGCAACAUUGGACAGGGGUUGCGCUCGUUGCGCCACUUAAGGCAACACCUCACGGCACGAGCUGACGACAGCCAUGCACCACCUGUGCACCGGCCCCGUAGGGCUGCCGUAUUUCUACGACAUUCCAGUGCAUGUCAAGCCUUGGUAAGGUUCUUCGCGUUGCGUCGAGUUAAACCACAUGCUCCGCUGCUUGUGCGGGCCCCCGUCAAUUCCUUUGAGUUUCAGUCUUGCGACCGUACUCCCCAGGCGGAAUGCUUAAAGCGUUAGCGACGGCACCCGGGGACUUUAUAACCCCAGACACCAAGCAUUCAUCGUUUAAGGCUAGGACUAC